UGAUAGAUAGAUAGAUGAUAGAUAGAUAGAUAGAUAGAAUUACUUUUACAGAUGGCCAAUGAAACACCACUGGAGCAACCUCUGUGGAACAGAGGGCUUUGUGAUGCAGUCUGGUGCCCUAAUUCCAUCCUCUGUGAGGCAGCCAUGACAAUGCCCAAUGCUACAAGUCAUUAGGCACGUAGGCCCCUGAACGACUAAUACAGAGAUGACUGGUCUCCUCGUGCUAAUGAGGUCUAGGCCAUGUUGAGCCUUGCGUGUUUUUCUUGGGACAUCAGUUAUCUUUUAUGUACCUACACCUCCAUCUUCAUCAUUUUCCUAAUUGCCUGGCAAAUAAGACGGAGUUACCAGGGAUUGAGCUUGGAACCUGAAAAGAGCUAUCGGCAUCAACGAAAAGUCAGGCAAAGGGCUAGAGAUG
This is a long non-coding RNA of Mastomys coucha (southern multimammate mouse), 415 nucleotides long. RefSeq lists it as uncharacterized. The transcript is spliced from 2 exons. Lineage: Eukaryota; Metazoa; Chordata; Mammalia; Rodentia; Muridae. The record is from RefSeq and is a predicted model, not a curated record.